Molecule: ribosomal RNA, 675 nt
Filed under: uncultured bacterium
Lineage: Bacteria
Description: bacterial SSU rRNA
Rfam family: Bacterial small subunit ribosomal RNA
Source: RNAcentral
ACGGGGCCUGCGCAGCGGAACCCCCCGGGGUUUAGCAGCGCAGUGCCUAGUGGCGGACGGGUGAGUAACGCGUGGGUAACCUGCCCUGUACAGGGGGACAACAUCCUGAAACGGCUGCUAAUACCGCAUAAGCCCGCGGCGCCGCAUGGCGCUGCGGGGAAAACUCCGGUGGUACAGGAUGGGCCCGCGUCUGAUUAGCUAGUUGGCGGGGUAACGGCCCACCAAGGCAGCGAUCAGUAGCCGGCUUGAGAGAGUGGACGGCCACAUUGGGACUGAGACACGGCCCAGACUCCUACGGGAGGCAGCAGUGGGGAAUAUUGCACAAUGGGGGGAACCCUGAUGCAGCAACGCCGCGUGGGUGAAGAAGUAUUUCGGUAUGUAAAGCCCUAUCAGCAGGGAAGAAGAUGACGGUACCCGACUAAGAAGCCCCGGCUAAAUACGUGCCAGCAGCCGCGGUAAUACGUAUGGGGCAAGCGUUAUCCGGAUUUACUGGGUGUAAAGGGAGCGCAGGCGGCGCGGCAAGUCAGAUGUGAAAGCCCGGGGCUCAACCCCGGGACUGCAUUCGCAACUGCCGUGCUGGAGUGUCGGAGAGGCAAGUGGAAUUCCUAGUGUAGCGGUGAAAUGCGUAGAUUUUAGGAGGAACACCAGUGGCGAAGGCGGCUUGCUGGACGAUAA